RNAcentral lists this ribosomal RNA (253 nucleotides) under uncultured bacterium. RNAcentral's name for it is "partial 16S ribosomal RNA". It matches the Rfam family "Bacterial small subunit ribosomal RNA", at positions 524 to 776 of the family's 1533-position model. The record is from RNAcentral.
UACAGAGGGUGCAAGCGUUAAUCGGAAUUACUGGGCGUAAAGCGUGCGUAGACGGUAGCGUAAGUCGGGUGUGAAAGCCCCGGGCUCAACCUGGGAAUUGCAUUCGAGACUGCUCUGCUAGGGUGCGGAAGAGGGAAGCGGAAUUUCCGGUGUAGCGGUGAAAUGCGUAGAUCUACGAAGGAACGCCAAAAGCGAAGGCAGCUCUCUGGGUCCCUACCGACGCUGGGGUGCGAAAGCAUGGGGAGCGAACAGG